RNAcentral lists this non-coding RNA (77 nucleotides) under Rhodococcus sp. WAY2. The record is from RNAcentral. Lineage: Bacteria; Bacillati; Actinomycetota; Actinomycetes; Mycobacteriales; Nocardiaceae.
GUCGGGUAGCCCCGACGCCUUACGGCGCCGAGGCCCCCUCAGAACCGGACGUGCGACUUUCACCGCAUCCGGCUCAA